Xenopus laevis (African clawed frog) is the source of this 1784-nucleotide long non-coding RNA. RefSeq lists it as uncharacterized. NCBI's taxonomy places the organism in Eukaryota, Metazoa, Chordata, Amphibia, Anura, Pipidae. The transcript is spliced from 2 exons. The record is from RefSeq and is a predicted model, not a curated record.
UUAUCAAAGGUAUAUAUCUUCUUCAUUUUGAACCCAAUUAUGUGAUGAGGUUUAGUUUCUUUCAAGAGCAUUGAUGCAAGAGACACAAAGCAACAACUAAAACUUAAGCUUGCAGUAGAGCAUGAAGUACUCCUUCAACAAAUAUGCAUGGCAUGGGGGCAAAGACUAAGUGUAUCUCAAAACAGAUCCAGUACAUCAGACACACUUGUGACCUUCCUUGGGGACAACCACAGCAGUGUAAACUUGCCUUAAAGGACCAGUAACACCAUUUUUUUUCAUUAAAAAAAUCAAAACUACACCCUCCAAAUAAUACCCAUAUCCUAUUGCUUUUUAUAUUAACCUUAGGUUUAGCUAAGAAUUCACUUAUAAAAAUCCCCUCCAUGCUCUAAUGAAAAACGGCGACCAGCAGCUGCAGCUUCUACCUAUAAGCGCGUCCCCGACAGCUCUCCUCCUCACGUGACUUCCGGAACCAGGAAGUCACUUCAUUUUCAGAGCAGCCAGAGAGGAUCCAUAGAGCGACGCUGCGCACAGAGCUGGGGAGUAAAGGCACACAACGGAAUGGCUGGGGAGGACCUGCACAGUGGAAGGGCUGCUUCAAUGAUCGGCCAGGGCUGGGAGGGAGGCACACACACACGGAAGAGCUGGGGGGAGAGGCACACAAAACGGAAUGGCUGGGGAGGUCAGGCAAAGUGGAAGGGCUGCUUCAACGAUCGGUGAGGGCUGAGAGGGAGGCACACACACACGGAAGAGCUGGGGGGAGAGGCACACAAAACGGAAUGGCUGGGGAUGACAGGCAAAGUGGAAGGGCUGCUUCAACGAUCGGUGAGGGCUGAGAGGGAGGCACACACACACGGAAGAGCUGGGGGGAGAGGCACACAAAACGGAAUGGCUGGGGAGGUCAGGCAAAGUGGAAGGGCUGCUUCAAAGAUCGGUGAGGGCUGAGAGGGAGGCACACACACACGGAAGAGCUGGGGGGAGAGGCACACAAAACGGAAUGGCUGGGGAUGACAGGCAAAGUGGAAGGGCUGCUUCAACGAUCGGUGAGGGCUGGGAGGGAGGCACACACACACAGGAAAGAGCUGGGGGGAGAGGCACACAAAACGGAAUGGCUGGGGAGGACAGGCAAAGUGGAAGGGCUGCUUCAACGAUCGGCGAGGGCUGGGAGGGAGGCGCACACACACACACACACACACAUGGAAGGGCUGGGGAAGAGAGAGGCGCACAUGUCAGAGGCUCGUGGAAUGGCUGGGGCUUGAUGAGAGGCAGUGGAGGGGAACAGUUUGUUAGAACAGAUAAGAGCAUGCUGACAGCGCAACAGGUAACUAGUGGUUGCUAGGUGAUGUCACUUCCGGAAGUGACAUCACAAACUAGGAAGUUGGAUCCCGAAGGACAGGAAGAGGCUCACAGCGGCGCGCAGGCAGAGAGAAGAGGCUUUUCUAGUGCUGCAAGAUGGCGGGCCCCAUUGGACUCCACAAGAAAGUUGCGGUUUCCAUUUGUAUCGGUUUCCUUACUAGAAAGCAGGAUGCAGCUGCAUAUUUGAUGUUACUUAUGUAUGGGAUCAACUAUGCAGAAUGCUUGGGAUCUGGGAUUAUCUGGAUGAGGCAUCAUGGACUCUUUGGGAAAUGGUCUUCACGUAAUUUAGAGCUUUCUGGAUAAGGGAUCAUGCACUUGUAGAAGAAACCAUUUUCUCCCUUGGGUAAAAUAUGCAAAUACAAAACAGCUUGUACUUUCAUGCUUGAUUUAUUUUAAAGGAAUGUAUUAUGAUAAAUGUUGAACAAACAGCA